GUCUCCGAUGAUGAUCAAAAGAAAAAUUUUCGUUCUUCCGAGGGUGGUGGUGAUGAUCCCCAUCCGUGCGGAAAGCUUAUGGAGACCUGAACUGAGGAGAC
Small nucleolar RNA from Phoenix dactylifera (date palm), 101 nucleotides. RefSeq annotates it as small nucleolar RNA Z159/U59. The record is from RefSeq and is a predicted model, not a curated record. NCBI's taxonomy places the organism in Eukaryota, Viridiplantae, Streptophyta, Magnoliopsida, Arecales, Arecaceae.